GAGGGCGUUUACCACGGUGUGAUUCAUGACUGGGGUGAAGUCGUAACAAGGUAACCCUAGGGGAACCUGGGGUUGGAUCACCUCCUUA
Molecule: ribosomal RNA, 88 nt
Filed under: Aeromonas veronii
Lineage: Bacteria; Pseudomonadati; Pseudomonadota; Gammaproteobacteria; Aeromonadales; Aeromonadaceae
Also listed under: 2 other names
Description: partial 16S ribosomal RNA
Rfam family: Bacterial small subunit ribosomal RNA
Source: RNAcentral